This 407-nucleotide ribosomal RNA is filed under the name uncultured bacterium. Its description in RNAcentral is "partial 16S ribosomal RNA". It matches the Rfam family "Bacterial small subunit ribosomal RNA", at positions 30 to 526 of the family's 1533-position model. The record is from RNAcentral.
AUUGAACGCUGGCGGCAGGCCUAACACAUGCAAGUCGAGCGGAGCGGCAGACGGGUGCGUAAUGCCUAGGAAUCUGCCUGGUCGUGGGGGAUAACGACCGGAAACGGGCGCUAAUACUGCAUACUAUCAGAUGAGCCUAGGUCGGAUUAGCUAGUGCGAGGGGUAAAGGCCUACCAAGGCGACGAUCCGUAACUGGUCUGAGAGGAUGAUCAGUCACACUGGGACUGAGACACGGUCCAGACUCCUACGGUAGGCAGCAGUGGGGAAUAUUGGACAAUGGGCGAAAGCCUGAUCCAGCCAUGCCGCGUGUGUGAAGAAGGUCUUCGGAUUGUAAAGCACUUUAAGUUGGGAGGCGUUACCAGCAGAAUAAGCACCGGCUAACUUCGUGCCAGCAGCCGCGGUAAUUC